UUUUUUUUUUUUUUUUUUUUGCUUUUUAGGACCACACCUGAGGCAUAUGGAGGUUCCCAGGGCUAGGGGUUGAAUCGGAGCUGUAGCCACCAGCCUACACCACAGCCACAGCAACACAGGAUCUGAGCAGUGUCUGUGCCCUACGCCACAGCUCAUGGUAACGCCAGAUCCUUAACCCACUGAGCGAAGCCAGGGAUCAAACCUGCGUCCUCAUGGAUGCUAGUCAGAUUCAUGAACUGCUGAGCCAUGACGGGAACUCCUAAAUGUUUCCUUCUAUCACCACCCCACCAACUGCCCAGUGCCUCCGGCUUCUCACUUCCCUUCUUCCAGAAACAUCUGACCGCAGAGGACAGGUCAGGGCUCAUUCUCUGCACUGGGGACAAAAUGGGGUCGAAACCCAAAUCUACGUCAUUGGGAAGGAUCUGAGGACCUAACUGUCACUAUGACACAAACACCUGCUGCAGUAAACUAGAAAACGUGUGAGAGCCGAGUGCAGAAAAGCUGCACUCCAGUGGCCCCCCUUUCCAGCUGUGCGACCCUCUGAAUGUAAGUUUCCUCAUCUGCAGAAAAAACUAUCAUCCCCAGACCAUGCGAAUCUUCUAAGGGCUUUCCAAACUCUUCAAGUCCCACAUGAUGCCUUCCUGAUAAUCCCCGCUACGUUAAUUAAAAUGUGUGGCACUCAGUCCCAGAGGGUGGGGCGAUUAGAGAACCUGCCAGUUCCAGACAGAACAGAAUUCCUUGACUGAAACUGAAUAUGGGGCAGCCUGGAUCUCCAGGGUCAGGUGACUUAACAGAAAGUAUCCGGAAAGUCUUGACUUUAGGGGCUGGCUGUUACUUUGCUGGCUGUGUGACGCUGGGCCAAGCCUUCAACCUCUCUGGGCCUGUUUCCUCAAAAUGGGAACAAUUAGGCCCCGGGGAGUGGGGUUAAACAAAAGUUAUUAAGAAAAUAACAUAUGUUUAGGAACACACCCCCAAAUUACGGAGAUGGUACCAGAAUGGUGGGAGGUUGAAAACACUGACUGCAGGAGUUCCCUGGUGGUGCAAUGGGCUAAGGAUCCCGUAGCAUCACUGCUAUGGCUGGGGUUGCAGCUGUGGUACGGGUUCACCCCCGGCUCUGAAUCUUCCACAUGCCAUGGGAAUGGCCAAAAAAAGACAAAGAAAAUACUGACUGCAGUUGCCAUCCCUGCCAGUGACAUAUGUAUCCAGAUGCAUCCUUUUCUCUUGCUUUGGGCCCAAGACCUGACCACAUCUCCUGACCCCUCCUGGAGCUGGGUGAGGCCAGGUUUCCAGGACAGGGCAGCAGUGAUGGUGCCACAUCCAGACUCUCCACACAGCCCUCCACGCUCACCUUUUCUCUCCCCCAACUGCUGGGCCUCAGUGGGGACCCAACACACUUGAGGGAGACGGAGCCAUGAGAUGGAAGGCACCUGGGUCUCUGGGGACCAGUGUGGGCACUUGGGACUUUGCAAGAGUGAGAAAUGAACUUCUUUAUUUUUUCCCUUUUUAGGGCCACACCUGCAGCAUAUGAAAGUUCCCAGGCCAGGGGCCGAAGGGGAAACACAGCUGCCAGCCUACACCACAGCCACAGCAACACUGGAUCCGAGCCACAAAACUGCAGGUGUAGGCAACACCUACACCACAGCUCACGGCAACGGUGGAUCCUUAACCCACGGAGCAGGGCCAGGGAUCAAACCUGUAUUCCCACAGAGAGAGAGUGUCAGAUCCUUAAUCUGAUAAGCCACAUGGGAACUCCUGAAAUGAAGUUCUCUUGCAUGAAACCAUUGAGAUUUUUUCAGGACGUUCAUGGGAAUUAGCUGACAGGCUAAUACAAAGGAGGCAUCUCUAGUCCAGUUUCCUGCCGACUUGGGCUAAUUGUCCACUAGGCCUGAUACCCUGGUGCUUUUCUCUGUAAAGAAUAAUAACUGAGCACCUAACAGAUGCCAGGAAUAGUCUGAAGCCCUUUACAGAGACGAGCUCAAUUAGUCCCGACAAUGCCGGGAGCCUGGUACUAUUGAGUAUUAAGCUUAUUAUCUUUUGAGGAGGCACCCAGGGUCCCAAGGGGUGAAGCAUCCAGCCCAAAGUCACACAUUUUGCAAGGAGUGAAGCUGACACUUGAACCCAGGACUGUCAGAGACACAUAAAGCAAGUUACCUUGCCACAAUGUCACACAGCCUCUAGUGAGCACAUCACCCAGGGGCUGCCAUGCCCUGACUGUGUGCCAGGCCCUACAGGAGUGGCACUACCAUGGCCUGGAGCCCUGUGAGCCAAGCAGGUGGGGAGAAAGGGAGGCGCAUGGAGCAGAGCGGGAUGGGGACAGGAGGGCGCAGUCCAGGAGGGCUGCAGGAAAGCAGGGUGCAGUGGGAAGGGCAUCACCACGCCAGAGGAACAGGGACGGCUCACAGAGGAGGUGGCACUUAAGGCUGGCCGAGAUUCCAGCGGGUGGAGGCAGGUGGGGAGAGGCAUUUCAUCUGAGCCAACAGCUACCUCCUGGAUCCCCAGGAGUUAGCUGGGAACAGGCCUACUGCCCCAUCUACUUAAGGGGCCUAAAAGACAGUGGGGUGAGGCUUUAAGACACUUCCCUGCGCUGGAUGAAAUACUCUGAGGCCUUUCAAGAUUUCUCUUACGGGAGUUCCCGUCUGUGGCACAGUGGCUAAUGAAUCCGACUAGGAACCAUGAGGUUGCGGGUUCGGUCCCUGCACUUGCUCAGUGGGUUAAGGAUCCGGCGUUGCUGUGAGCUGUGGUGUAGGUUGCAGACGCGGCUCGGAUCCUGCGUUGAUGUGGCUGUGGUGUAUGCCGGGCGGCCACAGUUCCAAUUCGACCCCUAGCCUGGGAACCUCCAUAUGUCGCGGGAGCAGCCCAAGAAAUAGCAAAAAAAAAAGAUUUCUCUUACGGCUCCCAGAGGCCUCGUUGUCGACCCUUCUUUCAAAGGUCACAGGGUGUAAUGAUGGGAAGAUUGUGGGGGGGCCAAGCUGCUCCUCGCCUCGACAACCCCUACCCCCUCAGAAGUGACACAGAUGCCCACUGUGUGGGUCCUGCACCAGCGAAGCAGAAAGAGGCACUGCUACCAGUGAACACACAACACUGCACAGAAGGAUUCUAGAAACUGGUGGUCCGCUUCCUCACAGGAGGGCCCACGGGCAGAGAGAAGGGUGGGAACAAAGAAACAAGAGAUGAGGGAGGCGCGAGACAGGGGCCAGCCUGGCAAACCCUGCCUCAAGGCCGAUGCCGCCAGUGACAUCACGUAAAUGUCAGGUAGCCCUGGCGGGCCGAGCUGAGAGGGCACCCCGCCCACGACCCCGUCUAAGUCUGAGAAAACACCAGACAAGCUCAGACGGGGGGCUGUGGGACAGGAAACCUGGGCCGCGCUCCUCAAGCCUGCCAAGGUCAGGAAGAGCGAGAAACACUGAGGAACUGUCCCCAACCAGAGGCAGGGGACACGUGACCACUGCAUGCAACGCGGGACCUUGGAAUAGAUCCUGGAGCAGUACAAGGCCGUUAGUGGAAAACCAGUGAAAUCCAAACAAAACCUGGAGUUCAGGAGUUCCCGUUCUGGCACAGUGGAAACGAAUCCGACUAGGAACCAUGAGGUUACGGGUUCGAUCCUUGGCCUUGCUCAGUGGGUUAAGGAUGUGACGUUGCCAUGAGCAUCACUGCUGUAGGUUGCAGGCGCAGCUCGGAUUCUGUGUGGCUGUGGCUGUGGCGUAGGUCAGCGGCUAUGGCUCUGAUUGGUCCCCUAGCCUGGGAACCUCCCUAUGUCAUGGGUGUGGGUCUAAAAAGAUCAAAAAAAAAAAAAAAAAA
Molecule: long non-coding RNA, 3798 nt
Filed under: Sus scrofa (pig)
Lineage: Eukaryota; Metazoa; Chordata; Mammalia; Artiodactyla; Suidae
Description: lncRNA (ENSSSCG00005019813.1)
Source: RNAcentral